Non-coding RNA from Sturnus vulgaris (Common starling), 324 nucleotides. Lineage: Eukaryota; Metazoa; Chordata; Aves; Passeriformes; Sturnidae. The record is from RefSeq and is a predicted model, not a curated record.
GUCUCCAAGCAUAAACCAUGGGAUUUCCAGCAUGACUUUCCCCUGCUCUUUGCCAUCACUAAGGGUCAGUGUGCAGGCCUGUAACUCACCAUCCACAUCUGAACCCUGCUGUGAGGAGAGACAAUUGCCACCUUCCUGUGGUUGUCUGUCACACUCACUAUCCCUGUCCCUUGAGUACUUCAUGAAUAUUGAUGAAAAUACCUCCAGGAAAAGGAGGAACCUUUCAAAAAUUAACCUAAGACCAGCUGGAAAAAGCUAGUCUGACACCUUUUCCUGUGAAUGGGACACAGUCAAGAUCCCCAUAGCACCAGCUUAGCACCCAAC